UGAACGCUGGCGGCGUGCCUAACACAUGCAAGUCGAGCGUGAACCCUUAGAAUGAAACUUCAGUCGAAUGAAGAGGGGAAAGCGGCGGACGGGUGAGUAACGCGUAGGCAACCUGCCCCGUACAGAGGGAUAGCCUCGGGAAACCGGGAUUAAAACCUCAUAAUACCAUGGUAUCACAUGAUGCAAUGGUCAAAGAUUUAUCGGUAUGGGAUGGGCCUGCGUCUGAUUAGCUGGUUGGUGGGGUAACGGCCUACCAAGGCAACGAUCAGUAGCCGACCUGAGAGGGUAAUCGGCCACAUUGGAACUGAGACACGGUCCAAACUCCUACGGGAGGCAGCAGUGGGGAAUAUUGCACAAUGGGCGAAAGCCUGAAUGCAGCAACGCCGCGUGAGCGAAGAAGGCCUUUGGGUCGUAAAGCUCUGUCGGGAAGGAAGAUAAUGACGGUACUUCCCGAGGAAGCCCCGGCUAACUACGUGCCAGCCGCAGC
Molecule: ribosomal RNA, 487 nt
Filed under: uncultured bacterium
Lineage: Bacteria
Description: bacterial SSU rRNA
Rfam family: Bacterial small subunit ribosomal RNA
Source: RNAcentral